GAUGAACGCUGGCGGCGUGCUUAACACAUGCAAGUCAAACGGAAAGGCCCAAGCUUGCUUGGGUACUCGAGUGGCGAACGGGUGAGUAACACGUGGGUGAUCUGCCCUGCACUUCGGGAUAAGCCUGGGAAACUGGGUCUAAUACCGGAUAGGACCACAUUUUGGAUGGUGUGGUGGAAAGUUUUUCGGUGUGGGAUGAGCUCGCGGCCUAUCAGCUUGUUGGUGGGGUAAUGGCCUACCAAGGCGUCGACGGGUAGCCGGCCUGAGAGGGUGUACGGCCACAUUGGGACUGAGAUACGGCCCAGACUCCUACGGGAGGCAGCAGUGGGGAAUAUUGCACAAUGGGCGCAAGCCUGAUGCAGCGACGCCGCGUGGGGGAUGACGGCCUUCGGGUUGUAAACUCCUUUCGCUAGGGACGAAGCGUUAUGUGACGGUACCUGGAGAAGAAGCACCGGCUAACUACGUG
RNAcentral lists this ribosomal RNA (466 nucleotides) under uncultured bacterium. Its description in RNAcentral is "partial 16S ribosomal RNA". It matches the Rfam family "Bacterial small subunit ribosomal RNA", at positions 28 to 507 of the family's 1533-position model. The record is from RNAcentral.